RNAcentral lists this long non-coding RNA (778 nucleotides) under Calidris pygmaea (Spoon-billed sandpiper). RNAcentral describes it as "lncRNA (ENSCPGG00000016519.1)". The record is from RNAcentral. Lineage: Eukaryota; Metazoa; Chordata; Aves; Charadriiformes; Scolopacidae.
CAAUAAGAGCGAGGCUGUCGGCCCCGCCUCGCUUUGAGACGGCCCGGAGCCAAUCAGAGAGCAGAGCGUUGUGUGGCGGAAGUCGGGCCUCGGCGGGUGCGCGGCGCCAUGGCCGGCGGUUCCGUUGGGGUGCUGGCGCGAGCGUUGGAGGCGCUGGAUGUUGGUGGUGCAGCUGAUAAGAUUAAUUCAAUACCUCAAGACUUUUUUGCAGAACUGUGUGAACAAAUAAUUCAACAUCUGAACCAUAAGAUCCCAGGUGUAAACACAGCUGAACUGUGUCAGGUAAGUUUGGAUUCUAUCACUUAUAAGUAAGUAUAUUAGCUGUAUAUGUUGUACAGGAUAGAUUUCUCAAGUCAUUUUUUUGGUGUGUGUAUAUGUAUACACAAAGAGGUUUUUAUUAAUGUAUAACUUAUUAUCAUUUGUAAUUGUUUGAAUAUUCUGUUUCUAGAGAAUUCAAACAGCUGGGAUUGAAAUUAAUGUUGGUGACCUGGCAAGAAUAGCUAACAUUAUUUCCUUUCUGUUUAGGUAAGCACAAAAUAAUAUAUUUUGCCUCAUGUCUUUUUUUUUUUUUUCUCUUCACCCCAAAUUAAUAGGGUUGUCAAAAAGUGACAUCAAAUGUGGGUAUAAAACUGAUUUGGGUAAAGAGCAAAAGUUUUUAACUCCCAGUAUGCAAAAAAUAACUGGGCUUAGUUUAUGUUCUUAAAAAAAUGUGUAGUUACUUAUACAUAGUGUUGUUUUUUUUAAUAAAAAUAGAAAACUAAAGAGAGGAAAUUGUUGU